AUUUUGUUUUUUUUUUGUUUUAUUAACUUAAAUAUUUGGGUUAGUACAUUUGCUACAUUUGGGUUAAUUAAGAUUUAAUUGUUUUAAAAUAUUCAGUUUUUAGUAAGAUCUUGUUAGAUUCUUUCUCAACAGAUUUUUUUUAUAAUUAAAAAAAUUAAAUUUAAAUUUAUAGUCAAAAUUUAUUUUAUUAAUAUUUUUAUUGAUUAUUAAGUUUAAUAAAAAUAAUAUAUAUUUGAUUGAUUAAUAUAAAUAAUCAAAUAUGUUGUAUUAAAUGAUUAAUGAAAUGGUCCUCUUAAGAGGUUUUUACAUAGAUUUUUUGUACUUCUAUUUUAGCAGAUAAUAUAAUAAUAGUAGCCUUAUUGAUUAUUUUUUUUAUAAAUAAUAUAUAUCUG
This 392-nucleotide long non-coding RNA is filed under the name Brassica rapa (field mustard). RNAcentral's name for it is "long non-coding RNA (BRAP_LNC005649)". The record is from RNAcentral. Lineage: Eukaryota; Viridiplantae; Streptophyta; Magnoliopsida; Brassicales; Brassicaceae.